UGGUGGAGUGAUUUGUCUGGUUAAUUCCGUUAACGAGCGAGACCCCCGCCUGCUAACUAGUUGCGUGAUUCUUGCAAUCAUGUCAACUUCUUAGAGGGACGAUGGAUGUUCAAUCCAUGGAAGUUGGGGCAAUAACA
RNAcentral lists this ribosomal RNA (137 nucleotides) under uncultured eukaryote. Its description in RNAcentral is "partial 18S ribosomal RNA". It matches the Rfam family "Eukaryotic small subunit ribosomal RNA", at positions 1299 to 1458 of the family's 1831-position model. The record is from RNAcentral.